UACGAAGGGGGCUAGCGUUGCUCGGAAUCACUGGGCGUAAAGGGUGCGUAGGCGGGUCUUUAAGUCAGGGGUGAAAUCCUGGAGCUCAACUCCAGAACUGCCUUUGAUACUGAGGAUCUUGAGUUCGGGAGAGGUGAGUGGAACUGCGAGUGUAGAGGUGAAAUUCGUAGAUAUUCGCAAGAACACCAGUGGCGAAGGCAGCUCGCUGGGACGGUACUGACGCUGAGGCGCGAAAGCGUGGGGAGCAAACAGG
Molecule: ribosomal RNA, 253 nt
Filed under: uncultured bacterium
Lineage: Bacteria
Description: partial 16S ribosomal RNA
Rfam family: Bacterial small subunit ribosomal RNA
Source: RNAcentral